AUGGUGCCAGCAACCCCGCCUCACUGUGCCCCCUCUGGUCCUCAGAGUCUCUUCAGUCUGGAGAGCCACUUGUGGAGCCCAGCGUCCUGCGCUCAGCCCACAAGCCACAUGUGGCUCCACUCACUGUCCCUGUUGACUCAACCCGCCUCUUCCUCCCCGGCUCCUCAGGAAGCAGAGCCCUGCCUGGCAACAGUUGCCAUGGGGAGAGACUUCUUCAACAGCAUCAGAGGCCUCACUAAUACAGCUGGAAUAUUCAAAUUUGGCCAGCAUAAGACUCAGGCACGACGGCUGGAGUUCAAUAGCUGCAUUGCAGCCCGAGGUGACACCAGGAGUGUAACCCACGUCUAUGACAGAAAAGCACGGAGUGGCCUUUAGAGGAUCCCUAUCCCAGCCCAAACCAGCAAACAAUGGCCUUUUGUGAGUGACAAAGCCAACUCACAAGCGGCACUCAAGCCAGAGCAAUUCUUGCCUGACACUGAUAACCUGAUUGGGGAAACGGACCCGUCAGGUGGUCUGUGCGUUGAGGUCGCCCUGCACUGUGUUCCUCUAUGUUAUUUGGGCCUUUGAGCUUGGUUUAUUUAUUUCCUUUUGGUGCUGGGAAUUCAGGCCAAUCCGGGCCUUGCACGUAGCUCUCCCACUGAGCUGCACCCCCUGCCUAUCACGCUCAGGUUAGCAAAAAGAAGACUGUGGGCUCCUGUAACUGCGACCUAAAGUGAGGACCACGCUGGCGCCCGCUGACUUAGGACGCAGGCCUCCUCUGUUCCCGGAGGGCCCCCGCUGUCAGGCUGGCCUCUGGCGGUGAGCUGGGGGCAGUGUUCCCAUCCCCCUUUCCACCCAUGUCACCUCACUCCCCGGAAGAGGGGAGAUCCCUUUUCUGGAAGCAGCCCGGGGUGUCGUGGCCUGCCCUGGAGGGCGGAAGGGUGCAGGUCUGAGCCGGUCUCCAGGGGGCAGGAGCAUGGGAUAGAAUGGUGGGUCUGAUUGGUGCCAGCCGGAAUCUGCCCCUCGGACAGAGGUGGAGUCUGUCCCGCAAACACAGUGCGGCUGGAAACACGGGUGGGGGUGUCGUCAGAAAGCACCAACAAGCGUGUGGAUUUGGAGGAGGAGGUCUAGGAAAACAUAAGGUGUGGGACAG
Molecule: long non-coding RNA, 1132 nt
Filed under: Fukomys damarensis (Damara mole-rat)
Lineage: Eukaryota; Metazoa; Chordata; Mammalia; Rodentia; Bathyergidae
Description: lncRNA (ENSFDAG00000032342.1)
Source: RNAcentral